RNAcentral lists this long non-coding RNA (3676 nucleotides) under Daucus carota (carrot). RNAcentral's name for it is "long non-coding RNA (DCAR_LNC002220)". The record is from RNAcentral. Lineage: Eukaryota; Viridiplantae; Streptophyta; Magnoliopsida; Apiales; Apiaceae.
AUGACUUCUACAAUAUGUGCUUAUAUAUUCAAGAUAAAAUUGCUGCAUGAUCAAAUAUAUUUGCAUAUUUUCGUAACUUCUCAAGAUUUAUUUCACAGGUUAGGAAUUAUUUGAAAAACUCCACAGAAAUAGCCUCUUUACUCCUUAGAAUAGGGGGUGUUGGCACGAGACAUAGAUCCGAUCCCUUAUGAGUAUCGGCCAACUCACUACAAGUAUAGGAAGUAUAUAAAAAACUCACGACAAUUAGGUGACUUGCUCCUGAAAAUAAAGAGUACUGACUUAAAAAAAAUUCUACGUGAGAAAGGUAGCAGAUCCUAAUAGGACUACAUAGACUUAAUUCUUUACAAAUAUAGAAAUAUGUAAGCACCUUGAGCAGAAUGGAACACUCUAAGAAAUCUAGAGAAUAAGCUCUCAAGCUUAAUAUAAAAACCCCUAACAUCCCCCAUAAACAUCCCUCGAUAUCUCAAAAAUGAAACGGAAAAAAUUCAUGCUACAAGGAGAGUUGUGAACUUACACUUGAAUCAGGCUGUUAACUUCGGACAUAGUGACAUGCCUGUGUACAUAAAUUAAAUAUUGGCGUGCAUGGUAGGGAUUUGGAGUACCAUAAAAGGGUGACAGAAGCAAACAAUAAAAGAAAUUUUAACAAGAGCUCCAUGACAACAAAGAGAAUAAACAUCCAGAGCUAAAAUGUUCAAGGACAUCCAGAGCUUAAUAAGAGUGAAAGGAAGCGUCUAUGCUGAGUUCUGGACUGCAAAAAGUUGUCUGCAGAAGCCUGCACACAUGCAGCACCAAACGAAUUACUCCCGCUUCGCGUAGUAAUUUAAGUUUUUUUCUUUGAGCAAGCUCAAGCUGCUGUUGCUACAAGCCAAACAACCAAUAUCCCAGGCAAUAUCAAGGCACUUCUAGCAGCACAUGACGUACCAAUGAGGCCUCUCGAGCCAUCAGUUAGUGGCAAAAAUUUGCACCAGUGGAGCGUCUCAGGCCUUAAGACGCCAAGUUCUAGUAUCUACUGGUGACAAACAUGUUUACUUGCUCGUUUAAUUCCUGUACUCAAAAGAAUUGUUCUUUUUUUAUUUUGUAAUUAGUUUGUUGCAGCAACACAAUCAUUCUUUAGCAUUUGUGUGACAUAUGGAGUAUCUGAUUUUGCUUAUUCUAUAUACUCUAUGAUAUUUUGUAUUAAUUUGAAAAUAAUAUAACUUGAUACCCGAUUCCUGAAUAUUGUAAACCAAAUACUAGGUAUCGGAAUCAUUUUCUUUCAAAAAUUUAACCGAACACAUGGGAUGAGGAAUGAUAUCCUAAACCCAUAAACUGGUUCCAAGAGAUCCUAUAGAAUAAACACUUAAACAGGUAAAGUGUGCAAGGGAAAUCACUUAGUAAUAGAAAAAGAACUCUAAAGAAAUAUGAAACUGUUCGAUUGUAAAUGAAUUAGACUGUCCUGCUUAAAUGCCAAAUGGGUCAAAUUGCUUAAAACAGUCCCAAAGAACUUAAAAAGUAUUAGACUGCAUGAAACAGUAUUGGUUUUUUUUAUGCACUCAGCUAUAUACCUUUUAUACAAUAACAUCUUUUUUCACACCAUGAAAGCCGAUUUACAAGCUACACUGAUAGGAAAUAAAAGGGAAGGCUGAAAGAUCUUGAACGAAUUAUAUCUUAUUUACACUACACAUCCUAUUAAUUAUGAACUAUUUUGAACUAAAUCAGCAAGCAAGGAUGUCAGGGAAUGAAAAGGUAAAUGCAAAUCCCUAUGAUCAAAGCUGAAUCCACUUAAUUUCAUUAUAAACUGUGUUUAAUAAAAUAAAUUUUAUGCUUUCUCUUUUAAUAUAUAUAAAGCCUGCCGAUAACAACACUGAUUGCGCCAAAAUGUUAUCUAUUGAUAUACUUAACAUUCACAUGUCUAAGAUUGUAAGUCUAUGUUUCUGUCUUUCUUCGAUCAUUGAGGUGUUAGAAUAGCUCCUCACAGUAUGUCAAUUACUAUCAAUAUGAGCACAUAUUCAAAUAUAUCUUACAAAAUUUAGGUUACUUAUUCAUUGUCCAUGGUGGCCUAGAAUAUACAUCCCUAAAGUUAUAUGAGAUAAGUAAUAACCCCUCGUAAACUGUUAUGCUUAACUUUAUGCACAAAUAAUAUAAUUCUUAAUAAACAGCUCCAUUAUACCUUUAAAAUCAAUUGCAAGCAAACGAGGCGUAUAUGUGUCAAUACCCUGCAAUCCAUAAGCAAAUACAAGUGUAGACAAAAGAAUCACAACCUACGAAGGAAUAAUGACAAACACAAAGGCAAAGCGUAGACGCGUGCUAGCAUAAUUUAUUACUUUUCAGAUAUUAUACUGAAUGUUUUAAAUUAUUCCAAAUUGAUUUCUUGUCAAUGAAAUAUGCAAUCUACAUGAAUUGAUGGUGAACCCAACAAAAGUAGACUAAAAUUAUAAACCCUAUUCAACUGUAAACACAAUGAUAAGUGAUAACCUUAGCGCAUCUAAGAUUAUAUAUCAAAUCAUAUAUAAAAAGCAUUCACUAAUUUAGCAACAAAAAAAGAAAAAAAGCAUUCACUUAUUCCAUUAACUCAAAGUUUAAGAUAUAUUUGCGUGCAUCCUAAACCUAAAAUGCCCAACCAAUUUUUUGUACUUAUCUCUUCCACAAAUAUGUCACAGCAUGGCAGAAUAUAAUGCAUUAUAAUCAAAUUGCCAAUAUACUCUCGUAGCAGCCAAAGAUAUAGUUUUAGAUCCUAUACAAAAAAGAAUCAUCAAAAGUGGGUUUCACAUGCAAAUCUACAAGAUACAUCCUUCAUAUGCCAGAGCAUUUAUUGUGUUAAUAAGUACAAUAUCAAAACUUGUACCUGUUGUGUUUCACCGGUCCGGUAGAGUACAUCCAUAUCGAUGCAUUGAUCCUUGAAGGCAGAAUCAGCCUGGGAAUUCUCAGCUAAUCCAAGCAAUUCAUCCUACAACAAAGAGGAUGCUUGUAAAUUGGCAAUUUGCAAACAAGAAAUACAAUGCUCAUAUCAGUAGACAAUAAUAGUACUCCCCCUGUCCCUCCCAUUUCUUACCAAAUGGGUUGGGCACGGAGGUUAAGAAAUAUGUAUAAAGUAGUGGAAAAGAGAAAGAAAAUUGGGUGAAGUGGUGGGACCCAUUGAUUUUUAAAUGUAUAAAAAGAAGAUAGUGGAGUAGAAGUAGUGUGAAAAGGAAAGAAAAGUGGAGAAGUGGUGGGACCCAUUCACUAUUUUUGGUAAGUUUUGAAAUGUAAAGAAUUGGAUGGGACACCCCAAAAGGGAAAGUGUAAAGAAAUAGAAGGGACGGAGGGAGUACUAUAUAAACAUGCACAUGACUUCUACAAUAUGUGCUUAUAUAUUCAAGAUAAAAUUGCUGCAUGAUCAAAUAUAUUUGCAUAUUUUCGUAACUUCUCAAGAUUUAUUUCACAGGUUAGGAAUUAUUUGAAAAACUCCACAGAAAUAGCCUCUUUACUCCUUAGAAUAGGGGGUGUUGGCACGAGACAUAGAUCCGAUCCCUUAUGAGUAUCGGCCAACUCACUACAAGUAUAGGAAGUAUAUAAAAAACUCACGACAAUUAGGUGACUUGCUCCUGAAAAUAAAGAGUACUGACUUAAAAAAAAUUCUACGUGAGAAAGGUAGCAGAUCCUAAUAGGACUACAUAGACUUAAUUCUUUACAAAUAUAGAAAUAUGUAAGCACCUUG